GACGAACGCUGGCGGCGUGCUUAACACAUGCAAGUCGAACGCUGAAGCUCAGCUUGCUGGGUGGCUGAGUGGCGAACGGGUGAGUAACACGUGAGUAACCUGCCCUCUUCUUUGGGAUAACGCCCGGAAACGGGUGCUAAUACUGGAUAUUCACUGAUUCUCGCAUGGGGGUUGGUGGAAAGGUUUUUUCUGGUGGGGGAUGGGCUCGCGGCCUAUCAGCUUGUUGGUGGGGUGAUGGCCUACCAAGGCUUUGACGGGUAGCCGGCCUGAGAGGGUGACCGGUCACAUUGGGACUGAGAUACGGCCCAGACUCCUACGGGAGGCAGCAGUGGGGAAUAUUGCACAAUGGGCGAAAGCCUGAUGCAGCGACGCCGCGUGAGGGAUGGAGGCCUUCGGGUUGUAAACCUCUUCCGCUCAUGGUCAAGCCGCAGCUUUGGGUUGUGGUGAGGGUAGUGGGUAAAGAAGCGCCGGCUAACUACGUG
Molecule: ribosomal RNA, 482 nt
Filed under: uncultured bacterium
Lineage: Bacteria
Description: partial 16S ribosomal RNA
Rfam family: Bacterial small subunit ribosomal RNA
Source: RNAcentral